UACGAAGGGGGCUAGCGUUGCUCGGAAUUACUGGGCGUAAAGGGAGCGUAGGCGGAUAGUUAAGUCAGAGGUGAAAGCCCAGGGCUCAACCUUGGAAUUGCCUUUGAUACUGGCUGUCUUGAGUAUGGGAGAGGUGUGUGGAACUCCGAGUGUAGAGGUGAAAUUCGUAGAUAUUCGGAAGAACACCAGUGGCGAAGGCGACACACUGGCCCAUUACUGACGCUGAGGCUCGAAAGCGUGGGGAGCAAACAGG
This 253-nucleotide ribosomal RNA is filed under the name uncultured bacterium. RNAcentral describes it as "partial 16S ribosomal RNA". It matches the Rfam family "Bacterial small subunit ribosomal RNA", at positions 524 to 776 of the family's 1533-position model. The record is from RNAcentral.